GGGCAGCUUGCCAGUGCUCUCCUGAUGCUAUUUCUGAGGAGCAGUCGGUAAGCUGACAGUGAUUUUGGUGUGCUUUGUCCUAGUGUGCCUCCUUUCCUCCUUUCUGUGUAACACAGGAUACCUGUGUUGCCCCAUAUUUGGUCAUUAGGCAGACCCCUAAGGAGUUGGGAAUUAAUGCCCCUAAUACUGCUGAGAGUGCCACUAGACAAGGAAUGACCCAUGUCCCUAGACCCCCAACCCAUCCAGGGGAGGACAUAGCCUCCAUGGAGCAGAUGAACUCGGAGGAGUUCCACUCGCUCCUGGACGCUACAAUGACCAAAUCAGUCACCCAGGCCAUUUUUACUGCAAUGGGGGCGAUGUCGGACAAUUUGUCCCACCCCAUUUAUAAUGCUAUUCUGGCGUCUAGUCACG
Non-coding RNA from Pelobates cultripes (western spadefoot toad), 411 nucleotides. The record is from the annotation of a GenBank genome assembly. Lineage: Eukaryota; Metazoa; Chordata; Amphibia; Anura; Pelobatidae.